RNA transcript from Mus pahari (shrew mouse), 717 nucleotides. It is a transcript of the gene named glutathione S-transferase omega-1-like, with no coding region annotated. Lineage: Eukaryota; Metazoa; Chordata; Mammalia; Rodentia; Muridae. The transcript has a single exon. The record is from RefSeq and is a predicted model, not a curated record.
AUCCGCAUCUACAGCAUGAGGUACUGCCCCUUCGCUCAGAGGACGUUGAUGGUCCUGAAGGCCAAGGGAAUCCAGCACGAAGUCAUCAAUAUCAACCUGAAGAACAAGCCGGAGUGGUUCUUUAAGAAGAAUCCCUUUGGGCUGGUGCCGGUUCUGGAGAAAAGCCAGGGUCACUUGGUCACCGAAUCCGUUAUCACUUGUGAGUACCUGGAUGAGGCAUACCCAGAGAAGGGUUUAUUUCCAGAUGACCCAUACGAGAAGGUGUGCUAGAAGAUGACCUUUGAGUUAUUCUCUAAGGUGCCGUCAUAGGUUACAAGCUUUAUCGGGGCGAAGAGAAAGGAAGACUAUCCGAGCAUAAAGAAAGAAUUGAAGAGAGAAUUAAGAAAGCUAGAGGAGGCUAUGGCUAAUAAGAAGACAGCCUUCUUUGGUGGGGAUUCUCUUUCUAUGAUUGAUUAUCUUAUUUGGCCUUGGUUUCAAUGACUGGAAGCAUUGGAGUUCAAUGAGUGUAUAGCUCACACCCCAAAACUCAAGCUCUGGAUGGCAGCUAUGCAGGAAGACCCGGUAGCAUCCUCCCACAUCAUUGAUGCCAAGAACUAUCGUGAUUACUUAAGUCUCUACCUACAGGACAGCCCCGAGGCCUGUGAUUAUGGGCUCUGAAGGGCAAAAGCCCUCAGUGAGUGCUGUUUCCCCUCAUUGAUUGAAUAACAUGCUUAUUUU